RNAcentral lists this ribosomal RNA (490 nucleotides) under uncultured bacterium. RNAcentral's name for it is "bacterial SSU rRNA". It matches the Rfam family "Bacterial small subunit ribosomal RNA", at positions 35 to 507 of the family's 1533-position model. The record is from RNAcentral.
GACGAACGGCUGGCGGCGUGGAUUAGGCAUGCAAGUCGAACGGUAGGAUACCUUCGGGUAAUCUGAGAGUGGCGAACGGGUGAGUAACACGUAGGUGAUCUACCCUCAAGAUUGGGACAACCCAGGGAAACUUGGGCUAAUACCGGAUGAAAGCAGCAGUGAUGUUGUUUGAAAGGUGGCGUAAGCUGCCGUUUGGGGAUGAGCCUGCGCUCUAUUAGUUAGUUGGCGGGGUAAAGGCCCACCAAGGCGAUGAUAGAUAGGCGGCCUUAACGGGUGGUCGCCCACACUGGGAUUGAGAUACGGCCCAGACUCCUACGGGAGGCAGCAGUCGAGAAUAGUCUACAAUGGCCGAAAGGCUGAUAGUGCGACGCCGCGUGAACGAAGAAGCCCUUCGGGGUGUAAAGUUCUUUUAUAUGUGAGCAGUGCUUUCUAUGUGAACAGCAUGGGGAGAGAGAUAUUAGCAUAUGAAUAAGCAACGGCUAACUCCGUG